Molecule: ribosomal RNA, 433 nt
Filed under: uncultured bacterium
Lineage: Bacteria
Description: partial 16S ribosomal RNA
Rfam family: Bacterial small subunit ribosomal RNA
Source: RNAcentral
AACGAACGCUGGCGGCAUGCCUAACACAUGCAAGUCGAACGAGACCUUCGGGUCUAGUGGCGCACGGGUGCGUAACGCGUGGGAAUCUACCCUCAGGUUCGGAAUAACUCAGAGAAAUUUGAGCUAAUACCGGAUGAUGACGUAAGUCCAAAGAUUUAUCGCCUGAGGAUGAGCCCGCGUAGGAUUAGGUAGUUGGUGAGGUAAAGGCUCACCACGCCGACGAUCCUUAGCUGGUCUGAGAGGAUGAUCAGCCACACUGGGACUGAGACACGGCCCAGACUCCUACGGGAGGCAGCAGUGGGGAAUAUUGGACAAUGGGCGAAAGGCUGAUCCAGCAAUGCCGCGUGAGUGAUGAAGGCCUUAGGGUUGUAAAGCUCUUUUACCCGGGAUGAUAAUGACAGUACCGGGAGAAUAAGCUCCGGCUAACUCCGUG